Molecule: non-coding RNA, 92 nt
Organism: Mycena vulgaris
Lineage: Eukaryota; Fungi; Basidiomycota; Agaricomycetes; Agaricales; Mycenaceae
Source: the annotation of a GenBank genome assembly
GGCUCGGUGGUGGAGGGUCCACACCUACAACUUAUAAUCGGGUAUUACGUUUGAGUAUCUAGGAGGAGCUCGUUCGACUCGGGCCCGAGCCA